RNAcentral lists this ribosomal RNA (755 nucleotides) under uncultured archaeon. RNAcentral describes it as "bacterial SSU rRNA". It matches the Rfam family "Archaeal small subunit ribosomal RNA", at positions 102 to 859 of the family's 1478-position model. The record is from RNAcentral.
AGUCAACCUAACUCGUGGACGUGGAUAACCUCGGGAAACUGAGAAUAAACCACGAUAGAUCAUAGUGCCUGGAAUGGCUUAUGGUCCAAACAGUUUACUGCCAUGGGAUGGGACUGCGGCCUAUCAGCUUGUUGGUGAGGUAAUGGCCCACCAAGGCGAUUACAGGUACGGGCUCUGAGAGGAGAAGCCCGGAGAUGGGUACUGAGACACGGACCCAGGCCCUAUGGGGCGCAGCAGGCGAGAAACCUUAGCAAUGUGCGAAAGCACGACUGGGUCAGUCCGAGUGAUUCCUGAUAAAGGAGUCUUUUGCCUGUCCUAAAAGCACAGGUGAAUAAGGGGUGGGCAAGUCUGGUGUCAGCCGCCGCGGUAAUACCAGCACCUCGAGUGGUCAGGACGUUUAUUGGGCCUAAAGCAUCCGUAGCCGGCUUUGCAAGUCUUCGGUUAAAUCCACCUGCUCAACAGAUGGGCCGCUGGAGAUACUACAGAGCUAGGGAGUGGGAGAGGCAGACGGUAUUCAGUGGGUAGGGGUAAAAUCCUCUGAUCCAUUGAGGACCACCAGUGGCGAAGGCGGUCUGCCAGAACACGUUCGACGGUGAGGGAUGAAAGCUGGGGGAGCAAACCGGAUUAGAUACCCGGGUAGUCCCAGCUGUAAACGAUGCAAACUCGGUGAUGCAUUGGCUUAUGGCCAAUGCAGUGCCGCAGGGAAGCCGUUAAGUUUGCCGCCUGGGAAGUACGGACGCAAGUCUGAAACUUAA